Non-coding RNA from Thermoactinomyces vulgaris, 98 nucleotides. The record is from Rfam. NCBI's taxonomy places the organism in Bacteria, Bacillati, Bacillota, Bacilli, Caryophanales, Thermoactinomycetaceae.
UGAACGCGAUGAUGCGAAAGGUUGCCGACACACCCGGCCCCUUUGCCAUGGCUGGGCGGGAAAUUUUCGCGGAGAAGUUCAUUUAAUAAAAUGGGCGA